UCAUGAUAACUAUCUCACACAUCAGGUUGUUUGUAAUGCAAACAAGCUUGCAAAGCUCGUUAAGAAGAAACGAAAGAAGCAAAACUGGCUCGACUACUACCAGAUUAAAUACUCAAAAAACCCAUCAAAACGACCUAUGAUGAAGACUGGAUUUCUUGGACUUUGGGGAGCGUAAGUUGAUGCUAUCGAGCAUCAUGAAACCGAAAUCAAGA
Molecule: long non-coding RNA, 212 nt
Organism: Helianthus annuus (common sunflower)
Lineage: Eukaryota; Viridiplantae; Streptophyta; Magnoliopsida; Asterales; Asteraceae
Exons: 3
Source: RefSeq, a predicted model, not a curated record